RNAcentral lists this ribosomal RNA (497 nucleotides) under uncultured bacterium. Its description in RNAcentral is "partial 16S ribosomal RNA". It matches the Rfam family "Bacterial small subunit ribosomal RNA", at positions 28 to 507 of the family's 1533-position model. The record is from RNAcentral.
GAUGAACGCUGGCGGCGUGCCUAAUACAUGCAAGUCGAGCGAACAGACGAGGAGCUUGCUCCUCUGACGUUAGCGGCGGACGGGUGAGUAACACGUGGAUAACCUACCUAUAAGACUGGGAUAACUUCGGGAAACCGGAGCUAAUACCGGAUAAUAUAUUGAACCGCAUGGUUCAAUAGUGAAAUACGGUUUUGCUGUCACUUAUAGAUGGAUCCGCGCCGCAUUAGCUAGUUGGUAAGGUAACGGCUUACCAAGGCAACGAUGCGUAGCCGACCUGAGAGGGUGAUCGACCACCCUGGAACUGAGACACCGUCCAGACUCCUACGGGAGGCAGCAGUAGGGAAUCUUCCGCAAUGGGCGAAAGCCUGACGGAGCAACGCCGCGUGAGUGAUGAAGGUCUUCGGAUCGUAAAGCUCUGUUAUUAGGGAAGAACAAAUGUGUAAGUAACUAUGCACGUCUUGACGGUACCUAGUCAGAAAGCCACGGCUAACUACGUG